This 407-nucleotide ribosomal RNA is filed under the name uncultured bacterium. Its description in RNAcentral is "partial 16S ribosomal RNA". It matches the Rfam family "Bacterial small subunit ribosomal RNA", at positions 30 to 526 of the family's 1533-position model. The record is from RNAcentral.
AUUGAACGCUGGCGGCAGGCCUAACACAUGCAAGUCGAGCGGAGCGGCGGACGGGUGAGUAAUGCCUAGGAAUCUGCCUGGUAGUGGGGGAUAACGUCCGGAAACGGGCGCUAAUACCGCAUACUAUCAGAUGAGCCUAGGUCGGAUUAGCUAGUUGGGGGGGUAAAGGCCUACCAAGGCGACGAUCAGUAACUGGUCUGAGAGGAAGACCAGUCACACGGGAACGGAGAAGCGGUCCAGACUCCUACGGGAGGCAGCAGGGGGGAAUAUUGGACAAUGGGCGAAAGCCUGAUCCAGAAAUGCCGCGUGUGUGAAGAAGGUCUUCGGAUUGUAAAACACUUUAAGUUGGGAGGCGUUACCAGCAGAAUAAGCACCGGCUAACUUCGUGCCAGCAGCCGCGGUAAUUC